UAACUCAANUAAUACGUGACUANCCCCUGAAUUUAAGCAUAUUAAUAAGCGGAGGAAAAGAAACUAACCAGG
This 72-nucleotide ribosomal RNA is filed under the name Phlebotomus papatasi. RNAcentral describes it as "partial 28S ribosomal RNA". It matches the Rfam family "Eukaryotic large subunit ribosomal RNA", at positions 1 to 73 of the family's 3401-position model. The record is from RNAcentral. Lineage: Eukaryota; Metazoa; Arthropoda; Insecta; Diptera; Psychodidae.